This 221-nucleotide long non-coding RNA is filed under the name Elaeis guineensis (African oil palm). RNAcentral describes it as "long non-coding RNA (EGUI_LNC059818)". The record is from RNAcentral. Lineage: Eukaryota; Viridiplantae; Streptophyta; Magnoliopsida; Arecales; Arecaceae.
GGGAUUAGAUUUGAAUUCUUAAUUCUUCUUCAGAUCCUAGGAGACCAACUCUUAAAUAGACUAAAAAGGCUAGUCGCUAUCUCAUAAGGUUCCUUACCUUUUAAUUUGAUUUUCUUCUCAUAAAAAUCAGGCCCAAUUGAAAAAGUCCCACACCCUAUAAGAUAAGUAGAGGAGGUGCCCACACCUUAUUAGGCAAGAUGAGAGGGCACCCCCAUCCCAUA